AUCAGCUUUGUUGUUUAAGUUAUCAAGAUUGUGCAGGUACUGUUAUCCAAACCCAUCAGACCAUGAGGCUGCCAAAAGGCAUUAUUAACAAGAACAGAACCAUAUUACAUUACAAACCCAAUAAUAAAUAAAACAAAAUAAAAUAAAACUAUAGGUAGGAUACUGGUAUUCUAAGCUUGACAAAUAGAAUAACUUACUCAAUGAUAAGAUAUACAUGCAUCACAUUAUCCUUACAAGUCACUGAUUCAUGGCCAGUUAAGAUGUAGAGAAAAUUUAAGAUACUAGAGAAUUAAGAAGGGUAAGCUGCAAUCUCACCAAUCUUUCAUCUUUCAAUCCCUAGUGUAAGAGCUUGUAUAUCAACCGUAAUUAUUGGGUGAUAUAAGACUCUCCAUGUAUGCAGUUAUUAUCAACCCUUCUUGACAACCUGAGAAGGAAAAUGAGUUAGACUCCUUUACUUUAUUCUUGAAUAGGGCUGCACUAUUCCCAUCUAAUAUCAUCAGAACUAUACUCUUCUUUGGAAAUUGCAUUGACAUCAAAUGUUGAAAAUUUAGGAUGCUAUAAGUGGAAGAAGCUCCUGGGAUAAGCAUCAACAUGGUCCAAGACUCCUUCACACCAUAUUGGUUCAUUAUCCAUAUCUGACUGUUAACGGGCCAUAAAGAGCCAACACAGAGAGAACCUUUGCAAGCUCCCAGAAAAACAUUUUUAGCACCUACCAGCCGACCAGGCAGGGGCAACUCCUUGAAGUUCUCCUGAACUAAGUCAAAAUAAAUUAUCACAUUUGCUACAUGACCAGUACCCCUACGCUUCAGCACCCAAUGAGGAGCUCCAUUUGCGAGGGUUAUCCCUGGUUGGCUAGAAUCAGAAGAGAACUCAUAAGGGAAUACAGUCUUUUCCAACAUAGCCCAGGAAUUGGUCUUAAGAUUAUAUACAGCAAUAUAGGUUAACUGUGAACCUCCAUCAUUAACUGCUGCAAGCACUUUGUAAUUAUCAGAGAAAGAAUCAUAAUAAUAACCAAGGCCAGCCAUGAAUGUCGUAGGGCACUCGCAAAAGUGGUUCAAUGGUAGCUCCUUAUCCUGCCCAGUUGACGGAUUCCACAAGAUGAAGCGCUUUGGGUUUUUACCAUGGCCUAGAAGUAGCAAACCAUUACAUGAACCAAAGACCUGUGAAUCAUUGAUGUUUUUAAAAUCUUCUAGCAGCAAAAGAGGAUUAGGAAACCCCACAGUCUGCACAAUUAAUACAUCAGAAUCUUCUUCUUCAGCUUUUCUGUGCAUGUAGAGAGAAAGCCGUGGCAGUUGUUGUUGAGGUAUGUUUGAUACUUGGAUAACUCCAUAUUUGCGAGGGCUAGGUUCUGCAUUAUUAGCUUGAUAAUUAAGAUGCCCAAUCGCGAACCCAUGACUUGAAAUUAAAGAAUGCCAGCAUCUGUUCACAGCUUUAAAUCGUAGCAGUGAACUUAACGGUAGUCUUAGCAGUAUGUCACAUAGUAAAUCCUCAGGAAAAUUCAGAAACAAUCCUGCCUUUUUUCUUUUUGCCUUUUCCAUGCCGUUGCAGCUCAGUUGAGAAAAUGGGAUUUCAGAUUUUGGGUGAUUUGCAUCUUCCAUGCAGAGUCUGAAGCAAAACCCUAUCGUCCACGCGAGGGAGAGCUUCGCUCAAUUUGGUGAAGGAGCGGGCGCGUCAAAGAGAGCUAGAUGAUGAAAACGGGGCAGUUUACUUAAAAAGCC
Molecule: unclassified non-coding RNA, 1718 nt
Filed under: Hevea brasiliensis (rubber tree)
Lineage: Eukaryota; Viridiplantae; Streptophyta; Magnoliopsida; Malpighiales; Euphorbiaceae
Source: RNAcentral